AAACGUAGGCAUGGGAGACGCGGGUCAAACUGUAGUAUCCGUUCUUAUCAGCUUAAUAUCUGACAGGGGUCGUAUUUGGACCUAAGAUAUUAAACUUAUUUUUGCAAGUUGGCGGAAUGCUUAAAGCCUGUUUCACCUCCGUCGCGGCUCGGCCCGGUAUUGCACUACCUUCGGGAUCGGGCCAUGUGUG
Dermacentor andersoni is the source of this 190-nucleotide small nuclear RNA. RefSeq annotates it as U2 spliceosomal RNA. The record is from RefSeq and is a predicted model, not a curated record. NCBI's taxonomy places the organism in Eukaryota, Metazoa, Arthropoda, Arachnida, Ixodida, Ixodidae.